Molecule: ribosomal RNA, 312 nt
Filed under: Triticum aestivum (bread wheat)
Lineage: Eukaryota; Viridiplantae; Streptophyta; Magnoliopsida; Poales; Poaceae
Description: partial small subunit ribosomal RNA
Source: RNAcentral
AUGUACAAAGCUGGUGCAUAUCGGAGGGCCACAGGUGUACAACCCGCCCCCAAAGAGGUGAUUUGCCGAAGGCUCCAAGGAAAUUGCCGAAAUGCACGAACUGUGGGGUGGUUGGACAUCGUCGCAAUGCGUGUGGCACUAAGAAGAGCAGGCCGUUUGAGCCAAACUUCCUCUAGUUACAAUCUUCAUCGCAGUGAUGGUUUAUGUAGUCGGCUUUGCAAUAUUUGUGGCAACUAUUUCUAUUUUAUGAUGCACAUGUUUCAUUUGCUGCCCGUAUUAUCGAACCAGGUCUCCUUGCCAUGUUUUAGCUGA